RNAcentral lists this ribosomal RNA (253 nucleotides) under uncultured bacterium. RNAcentral's name for it is "partial 16S ribosomal RNA". It matches the Rfam family "Bacterial small subunit ribosomal RNA", at positions 524 to 776 of the family's 1533-position model. The record is from RNAcentral.
UACGGGGGGGGCAAGCGUUGUUCGGAAUUACUGGGCGUAAAGGGCUCGUAGGCGGCCAACUAAGUCCGACGUGAAAUCCCCAGGCUUAACCUGGGAACUGCGUCGGAUACUGGAUGGCUUGAAUCCGGGAGAGGGAUGCGGAAUUCCAGGUGUAGCGGUGAAAUGCGCAGAUAUCAGGAGGAACACCGGUGGCGAAGGCGGUUCUCUGGGCAUUACCUGACGCUGAGGAGCGAAAGUGUGGGGAGCGAACAGG